Molecule: transfer RNA, 71 nt
Filed under: Dipodomys ordii (Ord's kangaroo rat)
Lineage: Eukaryota; Metazoa; Chordata; Mammalia; Rodentia; Heteromyidae
Rfam family: tRNA
About the family: Transfer RNA (tRNA) molecules are approximately 80 nucleotides in length. Their secondary structure includes four short double-helical elements and three loops (D, anti-codon, and T loops).
Source: Rfam by way of RNAcentral
GAGAAGGUGGCUCAGUGGUAGAGUGCUUGCUUUCCAUACAAGAGCCUGGGGUUUGAUUCCUCAGCAUCACA